AGAGAAAAAAAAGAAUAUUCGUGAAUGGUGUAUUCUUUUUGUACUUCUUUGUUGUGUUUUCUGUUUGUUUUUGUUUUGUGAAAUCUCCAUCAAAUUGGAGCGAGAGUCUGUAUUCAAAGGAAGAAAAAAAGAAAA
Molecule: non-coding RNA, 135 nt
Filed under: Foraminifera environmental sample
Lineage: Eukaryota; Foraminifera
Source: RNAcentral